GGAAGGAGCUAAAGGUCAAAAGCCAAGGAAGGCAUUUCCUCUGCCUUUCUCGUCCACCUUUCACUUGGUCUUCCGGGAUGCAGGGGGAGUCCCACCGAGCUUCGAGUUUCAUUUUGAUUAACUUUGCUCCCUGACCUCUCUCAGCAAAGUCCAAGGCAACCGAAGGUUUGCUUUUAUACACAUGUGCCUUAUCUGCCCCGACCAGCAGUGUGAACUGUGGGAUCUCUGGCUUCAGAGGAAUGUAAAGAAGAGAGACAUGUCCACUCCACCCUUGUUCUACUGGACAACGUAACCCUGGCAGGUCUAGAGUCAACAGCAGUGUCAACACUGAGCUUCCUGGAAAUAUUUUCUCUGAUAAAACAUUCCAAGGGGUGUGUAGAGCUCACUCUGGCCUUGUUUGCAGAAUGAAGCCUGCAAUAAAACUCUUGGCUGGACCAAUAUAGAAACCCCUGGGAGUGAAUAAUUUGAGUCCUCCUGUCAGAAAACUCACAAAAGAGAGGGAGGGGCAGAGCAGAAAAGGAAAUGCACUUCAUUUCACCUGGAAAAAGAAUGCUCCCAUUUGUUUGCCAGAAAUCCAGGAAUCUCAAAUUAGGAUGCUUGAGGUCACUCAUUAGGGAA
Non-coding RNA from Pantherophis guttatus, 618 nucleotides. The record is from RefSeq and is a predicted model, not a curated record. NCBI's taxonomy places the organism in Eukaryota, Metazoa, Chordata, Lepidosauria, Squamata, Colubridae.